RNAcentral lists this ribosomal RNA (2899 nucleotides) under Klebsiella pneumoniae. Its description in RNAcentral is "bacterial LSU rRNA". It matches the Rfam family "Bacterial large subunit ribosomal RNA". The record is from RNAcentral. Lineage: Bacteria; Pseudomonadati; Pseudomonadota; Gammaproteobacteria; Enterobacterales; Enterobacteriaceae.
UUAAGCGACUAAGCGUACACGGUGGAUGCCCUGGCAGUCAGAGGCGAUGAAGGACGUGCUAAUCUGCGAAAAGCGUCGGUAAGGUGAUAUGAACCGUUACAGCCGGCGAUGUCCGAAUGGGGAAACCCAGUGCAAUUCGUUGCACUAUCGUUAACUGAAUACAUAGGUUAACGAGGCGAACCGGGGGAACUGAAACAUCUAAGUACCCCGAGGAAAAGAAAUCAACCGAGAUUCCCCCAGUAGCGGCGAGCGAACGGGGAGCAGCCCAGAGUCUGAAUCAGCUUGUGUGUUAGUGGAACGGUCUGGAAAGUCCGACGGUACAGGGUGAUAGUCCCGUACACCAAAAUGCACAGGUUGUGAACUCGAAGAGUAGGGCGGGACACGUGGUAUCCUGUCUGAAUAUGGGGGGACCAUCCUCCAAGGCUAAAUACUCCUGACUGACCGAUAGUGAACCAGUACCGUGAGGGAAAGGCGAAAAGAACCCCGGCGAGGGGAGUGAAAAAGAACCUGAAACCGUGUACGUACAAGCAGUGGGAGCACCUUCGGGUGUGACUGCGUACCUUUUGUAUAAUGGGUCAGCGACUUAUAUUCUGUAGCAAGGUUAACCGUAUAGGGGAGCCGCAGGGAAACCGAGUCUUAACUGGGCGUUAAGUUGCAGGGUAUAGACCCGAAACCCGGUGAUCUAGCCAUGGGCAGGUUGAAGGUUGGGUAACACUAACUGGAGGACCGAACCGACUAAUGUUGAAAAAUUAGCGGAUGACUUGUGGCUGGGGGUGAAAGGCCAAUCAAACCGGGAGAUAGCUGGUUCUCCCCGAAAGCUAUUUAGGUAGCGCCUCGUGAAUUCAUCUUCGGGGGUAGAGCACUGUUUCGGCUAGGGGGUCAUCCCGACUUACCAACCCGAUGCAAACUACGAAUACCGAAGAAUGUUAUCACGGGAGACACACGGCGGGUGCUAACGUCCGUCGUGAAGAGGGAAACAACCCAGACCGCCAGCUAAGGUCCCAAAGUCAUGGUUAAGUGGGAAACGAUGUGGGAAGGCACAGACAGCCAGGAUGUUGGCUUAGAAGCAGCCAUCAUUUAAAGAAAGCGUAAUAGCUCACUGGUCGAGUCGGCCUGCGCGGAAGAUGUAACGGGGCUAAACCAUGCACCGAAGCUGCGGCAGCGACACUAUGUGUUGUUGGGUAGGGGAGCGUUCUGUAAGCCUGCGAAGGUGACCUGUGAGGGUUGCUGGAGGUAUCAGAAGUGCGAAUGCUGACAUAAGUAACGAUAAAGCGGGUGAAAAGCCCGCUCGCCGGAAGACCAAGGGUUCCUGUCCAACGUUAAUCGGGGCAGGGUGAGUCGACCCCUAAGGCGAGGCCGAAAGGCGUAGUCGAUGGGAAACAGGUUAAUAUUCCUGUACUUGGUGUUACUGCGAAGGGGGGACGGAGAAGGCUAUGUUAGCCGGGCGACGGUUGUCCCGGUUUAAGCAUGUAGGCUGGUUGUCCAGGCAAAUCCGGAUAAUCAAGGCUGAGGUGUGAUGACGAGGCACUACGGUGCUGAAGUAACAAAUGCCCUGCUUCCAGGAAAAGCCUCUAAGCAUCAGGUAACAUCAAAUCGUACCCCAAACCGACACAGGUGGUCAGGUAGAGAAUACCAAGGCGCUUGAGAGAACUCGGGUGAAGGAACUAGGCAAAAUGGUGCCGUAACUUCGGGAGAAGGCACGCUGGUGUGUAGGUGAAGUCCCUGCGGAUGGAGCUGAGACCAGUCGAAGAUACCAGCUGGCUGCAACUGUUUAUUAAAAACACAGCACUGUGCAAACACGAAAGUGGACGUAUACGGUGUGACGCCUGCCCGGUGCCGGAAGGUUAAUUGAUGGGGUUAUCCGUAAGGAGAAGCUCUUGAUCGAAGCCCCGGUAAACGGCGGCCGUAACUAUAACGGUCCUAAGGUAGCGAAAUUCCUUGUCGGGUAAGUUCCGACCUGCACGAAUGGCGUAAUGAUGGCCAGGCUGUCUCCACCCGAGACUCAGUGAAAUUGAACUCGCUGUGAAGAUGCAGUGUACCCGCGGCAAGACGGAAAGACCCCGUGAACCUUUACUAUAGCUUGACACUGAACAUUGAGCCUUGAUGUGUAGGAUAGGUGGGAGGCUUUGAAGCGUGGACGCCAGUCUGCGUGGAGCCAACCUUGAAAUACCACCCUUUAAUGUUUGAUGUUCUAACGUUGGCCCCUGACCGGGGUUGCGGACAGUGUCUGGUGGGUAGUUUGACUGGGGCGGUCUCCUCCCAAAGCGUAACGGAGGAGCACGAAGGUUAGCUAAUCCUGGUCGGACAUCAGGAGGUUAGUGCAAUGGCAUAAGCUAGCUUGACUGCGAGCGUGACGGCGCGAGCAGGUGCGAAAGCAGGUCAUAGUGAUCCGGUGGUUCUGAAUGGAAGGGCCAUCGCUCAACGGAUAAAAGGUACUCCGGGGAUAACAGGCUGAUACCGCCCAAGAGUUCAUAUCGACGGCGGUGUUUGGCACCUCGAUGUCGGCUCAUCACAUCCUGGGGCUGAAGUAGGUCCCAAGGGUAUGGCUGUUCGCCAUUUAAAGUGGUACGCGAGCUGGGUUUAGAACGUCGUGAGACAGUUCGGUCCCUAUCUGCCGUGGGCGCUGGAGAAUUGAGGGGGGCUGCUCCUAGUACGAGAGGACCGGAGUGGACGCAUCACUGGUGUUCGGGUUGUCAUGCCAAUGGCACUGCCCGGUAGCUAAAUGCGGAAGAGAUAAGUGCUGAAAGCAUCUAAGCACGAAACUUGCCCCGAGAUGAGUUCUCCCUGAGACUUUAAGUCUCCUGAAGGAACGUUGAAGACGACGACGUUGAUAGGCCGGGUGUGUAAGCGCAGCGAUGCGUUGAGCUAACCGGUACUAAUGAACCGUGAGGCUUAACCU